CUUUUUAUUAUGUUUUCUGUGAUUUAUUCUUCAACGUCUUCUUAGAGAAUUCGACUUUGGAAAUAUAUUACUAUCAAUUAAUAUCCUUUCUGAGUACUACAUGCAGAUACCCAGUUCCUCUGAGUGAAUACCAUUGAAUGAAUAGAGGCAAAUUUUUUAGUUAUAUCAUUUGACUAAUCAACAAAUCAAUACUAAGGAACUGAUUGGAAGCUUUUUGAAUGUGGGAAGGGCAUACCGCCUUAUAGGUAUCAGUGGUCUAUCAGGGAAACUGAACAGCCAAGACUCCUAUAACAAUUUUACCAACAACAACCCUGGCAACCCUCGGCUCUCUCCUCUUCCCAGCUUGAUGGUAGUGAUGCCUCUUGCACAAAUCAAGCAGCCGAUGACAUUGGGGACCAUCACCAAACGAACCGGCAAAGUUAAACCUCCUCCACAAAUUUCACCCAGCAAAUCGAUGGGCGGAGAAUUUUGUGUGGCUGCUAUCUUCGGAACAUCCAGGUCAUGGUUUGCAAAUAAUGCAGGUCUGAAAAGAGAAAAAGAUCAGUCCAAACAAG
RNAcentral lists this small RNA (554 nucleotides) under Pan troglodytes (chimpanzee). Its description in RNAcentral is "processed transcript". The record is from RNAcentral. Lineage: Eukaryota; Metazoa; Chordata; Mammalia; Primates; Hominidae.